UGAAACAGAGGAGCAAAACUUUGUGAUGACAACAAGAAAAAUAAACAUAAACGUAGACAAUACACGAUUACAAUUACUGUAAUCAGGGAUGAAAUUUGAUGAUACAUUAAGAGUCCAGGAGUCAAAAUCAUCUAGAACAAUUUGGUUACAUGUGGUUAAAGUAUGUUUGAGUAUGUUUAUAUGAGAGCCAGUGACAUAAUCCGUGUUCAGUGAUAUGCUGGUCAGGUAUGUUUGCGAUUUAGUGUUCAGGGACACGCAAAGGGAGCAAUAAAGGGGACAGAUUGCAAAAAUAGAUACAACGUGAAUGUGAGCAAAUGUGUCCAGUGGAUGAAUUAACAAAUGAAGAGGUGAGAGGAUGAUGAGUCAGACCAAAGGGUGAGCGUGGGCAAACUGAGAUGGACUUGCAAUCAACCUAAAACUGCACAGCUUUUAUAGAGCGCAUAUAUUGAGGAAAGGAUUCCAGUGAGAGAGCAAGCGCACGCUCGACGGAUUGACUAGUUUGGUCUAGCUACC
Molecule: long non-coding RNA, 513 nt
Organism: Acanthopagrus latus (yellowfin seabream)
Lineage: Eukaryota; Metazoa; Chordata; Actinopteri; Spariformes; Sparidae
Exons: 3
Source: RefSeq, a predicted model, not a curated record